Molecule: long non-coding RNA, 6176 nt
Organism: Bombus huntii
Lineage: Eukaryota; Metazoa; Arthropoda; Insecta; Hymenoptera; Apidae
Exons: 2
Source: RefSeq, a predicted model, not a curated record
CAUACGCUAAGACUCGUUAGAAUCGAUAUCAUUGUUCUCUUCUACAAAUAUAUUCGUUGGUUCGUUUUUUCCGAUUAUAAUAAAUAUGAUUCAUUUUUCAUUCUGACUAGACAGAUAUAGAAAAUAGUUAAUGCGUUAUCGUCGGAGAAUUAAAAUUCACGUCUAGCGCAGUAAUGAAAUUUUAAUGCGAUAAUUAACGAUUUUCUCAACGCUGAUAUCUCACGUGACUCGGAAAUAUUUUUUUUUUUCGCUGUGCAUUGCUGUUAGAACGAUCGCAAAUAAAGAGGAUACGUUACUGCACGUUAUUUUUUCAAAUAUUUUUUGUUGCGUACAACAGAAUAAGUAAAAAAUAGCUGACCAAUAAAAAUGGAAUUUUCUACGAAAAUUUCCACCACGAUUUUAAACACGCGACCUCACUUCACAAAGGCAGGCAAAUUAAAAUAAAAGAAACCUUUUGUUCAUUUCCGGGUGGAAACACAACAUAUCGCGAAUAUUUGAUUCGUAACUAACCUUCCGAUUGUCACUGGACAAUAACUUCUCGCGCGUCAAAUUAUCGGAGAUCGCAUCCGCUAAAAAUGAUCCAAUCGGACCCGUUGCAAAUGCAAGGACCAGUUUACAUAAAAAAUAAUACAGAAGGACGAAUAACAUUUCGACUAGAAUUCGAAACACGUGGAAUCACUUUGCCAAUAUAGAAAUAGCAAAACAACGAUUCUGCGAUUCAUUGUUUCAAUGAACAAACGAUAUAUCGAGGCUGUGUAAAAUAAAACGGAAAAAAGGGGGGAGAUUUUUAAUUGAGAUACAAAGCGCGUAAAAUCGUUCCACGUUGGUAAACUAAAAAAAGAUUAGAACAAGGAUCUUUUAUCCAUACUGUAACAAGUCAUUUCAGUAUUCGUUAUUUCAAACAAUGGACGAACUUUGAAACGAAAGAUAUAAAUCACGGUAUACCAGACGUGAAAUCAUCUUAGCAAACUAAAUGAAAAUAAUACAUUCUUUUGUGUAUAUUUUCAAUGAAAACAUCAAUUAUUGAGAACGUUCGUCUCUCUCGUUAACGUUUCCGUGAAAAUGUUCCAUGAAACUGGAUCGCGAAUCGACGAGCCCUCGUUUCUGCUCGUAAAUUUGCAACCAUAUAAACAGUUCGCGGCUUGAUCGGAUGUUCAUCAGCCCGACGUUAAUUUUGCUUGAGUGUGGUUCACGUGAACGAGAGAGGAAGGUCGUGGCCACGAGUCUGGUCGUUUUAUCAAACGCUCGUUAAGUUCAUUGAAAAUUCAGCCGCUUACACCGUUCGCUACAGAGAGGCGAAUCUACGAUCGAUAACGAAACGACGAUUCUUGUUUUAUCGAGAUCUUGCAAUUUUAAUUAUAUCUUCGUUAGGUAUGAAAUUAUUCUUUCCAACGUUUUCGAAUUCAAUUAUAUUUUUCCAGCUUAUUAAACAAAUUAUCGUCGCAGUUUCUACGAAAUAGGAAAAACAAGUCUGCUUUAGUAGGAAUAAUUUUCCGCUUCAAUUAUCUGUGUUCGCUCAAACGGUUUUUAUCUGCAAAAAGGUGGAGUAAAAUUGAAACAUAAAAAUCGAAGAAUCGUAACAGGGUUGAAUCCACACCCUUUUACUGUCUCCUGCAAGUCUCUUAAAAACCUACCAUUUUCAUUCUUUUUUCCCAUCGUCCCAGUUCUUCUCUUCGUUAUCUAUCCUUGCAAAGAGAUAAAGAGAGAGAGAAAGAGAGAGAGAGAGAGAGAGAGAGAGAGAGAGAGAGCCACUGAAAGUAGAUCGAUCCAGCAACCCCUGAAAUCGAUAACCCACGCACGAUUCCAGUCUUCCACGCUAGACAACCCGUUUUCACCCGGGUACUUGUUGAGCGUGGAAUUCCAAUUCUCGUAAUGGAUUCCAUCGAUCGCCGGGAAUAUCGAGGGACCCAUUGAAAAAUCCCUGUCGCAGUUGACCAUCGUUUCUCGCUCUCUGCACGCGAAUUUAGAACGAAGGGCUUCAUAUUCGGCGGUUGCGGUGGGUUGCAAGGUGCAUCGAUGAUGCACUCCAGCUACGCGACUGCCUUUUUAAGCAAAUCAUAGGGGGAGUUUGCACGGUUCGAAGCGAAAUGUGCGAGUUGCCGAAGAAAUCGAUGGGGAGGGGUAUGAAUUUUGUAUGAGCUCGCAGAGAGCAAUGUUAGUUGCGUCUUGUGACAUGCGACGUUUCACGUACUGUAGUGGGUUAGACGAAAAAUGUCGUUCGAUUUACAGAGAUUUUUUCUUUUUUCUUUUUUUUUUUUUUUUUUUUUUGAUAUUACAGAUACGUCGAUUUGACGAUAUUUUUAACAUUUUAGAUAUCUCUCGUAGAUAUUUGUAUUUUGUUAUUUGCUCUGUUAUUUGUAUUUACUCUGGUUUAGUUAUUUACGUUUGGGAUUAUUCGUAAUAGUUGGGUGGAAGCGAGAGAAUUGGUUCGAACUUAUCGGAACAAUAGAAAGCUCGUAGAAGGCAACGUAUUAUUUCUGUUUGAUUUUCGAUAAUAGAACUCGCGGUUCUACACUCGCGUGCAACUGAAAAGCCUUCGAAAACUCAAAUUUCUAUAUCCGUGUCUGAGACGAAAAAUGCGGAAAAAUUAAAGCCACGGGCGAGUGCUUCACAAAUAUUAAUACUCUGUCUGAGAUAUCCAGCGUCGAAAACUCUCCGGCAAAAAGGAUGACGUCAUGCGAUUACGCUUGCACCGGAUACUUACGGUCAAUAUUUAGCGAUCGAGUCACGGUUCGUUUAAGCCUAGAACAAAGAAUGUUCGCCGAAUGCCGAGGCUAAUUUAAAAGAACCCGCGGCCCCGUGCACGCGAUUUAAUCGUCCACGAUUGAUCGACGACAAUUGGACGAAACCUAUUGAAUUGUGUGGAGAACAAGAAUCGACGAGUUUCAUCGUGAAUUCACAAGUGGAAGAUUCAUAUCCUCUGUUGUUCAAGAUGCUCUGAAAGAUUCUCUCGACAUGCGUUUCGUUUCUGGGAAAAAUUAGAAAAUAAGUAGGUUAUCGAUGCGCUAUCGUGUUUUUCCAAGCCUAACGAAACAAAUUGAAAUUUGUCUCAUCCGCUGAAUACUACGCCAAGUACAGUAGACUAUUCUUUGUUCGAACUAACAGGGAGACGAAACUCUGUUCGAAUAAAGGAAUUUUCGGACAGUGGAAGAGUCGCUUGUCCGAUAUGAAAUUUCGUUUGUUCGAAUAGAUACGGAUUAAGAUGAAUGGAGGAAUUUUUUAAUUAAAUUUAUAUAAUUUAUAAUUAAAAACGAAGAUACUACACUGCUCUCUCGUGAUGCAUGGAAUAUGCAUCUGUCGUUCGAUCUUCCCAUCAAAUCACGUGCAAACAGUUAAUCGAGAAAGUUGAGCGUGGCUUUCUCAGAUUUGCACCCUUUAAUCCUCGGACUACCGUAAUGGGUCGUUUUGGAUUCACUUGGUACGCUCCUCGUUUUCGUAGCACUUUCGCGUGUGAUUCUCUGCAUACGUAAUGCAAUAUUUCCAAUUCCAAUAAUAAUGGCUUUAUUGAAAAACUAUAUAGGAAUAGAAAUGAGUAGCUUUUUACUUAUUAUUUUUCGAUAAAUCGUAGAUACGAAUAAAUUAAAAAGGAAACAUAAACGAAUAAUACGAUGUAAAUGCAUAGAUCCAGCUACAAUGUAAAUACAAUGAUUUUUGAUUGAUCAAUGAUACAUGACGUUGGCAAAUAUCACAUUGGGUCAAUAUAAUCCCGCGAUGGUAAAACUGGGUCAGAAAAUUGCCCUUACGAAUCUCCAUUAUAUUGCAAUCGCGAAUAAAAUUAAUACAUGUACUUUUGAAUCGAGGAGAACUGCCGCCUAUUCGAUGUUCUUACUUAAGCUGAUCAAUGGCUUUAUUAGUUGGCCGCAACUUCUGUCGUUGAUACAUUUUUAUGCCCACUCAAGGUCGCCGAGUUGUGUGCGUUCUUUUCAUUCGAUUUAUUACUUGACAAGAGUAUUAGGCAACUUCGAUCUCUUUCAUCCAGUCUGUAUUACAGCGAACAUCUUCCAUGUACGUUCAAACUUCUUUUGCCACAGUUUUCCUACAAUUUUCGUGUAACGUAACACGUUUCAACUGCUCCCGUCUUCAGAUUCCUAUCUUUCUACGCUAGUUUCCACAUUUAGAAGAAUUUUUCCGAUAAACUAUAAUAAUUUUCUCAACGUAAGUAACGACACAGAGUUACGUUCCUUUUGUACUUUGAACCAUCGAUGACUUUUUUCCAAUGGCGCGAGUGCUUGGACACGACGAACCACCUCUCCGUUACCAUUUUCGUUUGCUGCUUCCAUUUGUAUAAAAUCGUCGUUAUUAUCGCCUUUAUUGCGACGAAACCAUCGCAUUGCAUCAGUAUAUGUACAGUUUCUCCACUGUUGCCAGCAUCUGAGAGCAAUCUACGUGCUUUAGAUAACUUUCAAUAUCACGUUCUUGGUUUCUAAUUCGUCCGCGACCCUCGUGGCUUUUCCAACAUUUUUCGCUAAUUCUGUCCCACAUACGAUAUUUUGUUUAAAAAAAGAAGAAAAAGGACACACUGUAUACGAACCACGAUGGAAUAUUUGAAACGGAAAAAGGCACUCGUUACUGGGAAAUAUUAUAUUCGGAUAAAGUAGGCUCUACUGUACCGUACGUUAGAUUUCUCGUGCUUUUCGGAAUUUUGAAUGUGCUAUUAAAUGCAGAAAAAUUCACAGUCCAGUUGUCAACAGUCGAUUAGAUCACGUGGUUUCUUUCUUCCGUACGAUAAAUUAUUCCGGCGAAAAAAAAAAAUUGUCGCUAAUUUGGAACCAUUGCCAAAAAAAGGAGGGGGGGAAUGAACUGUCCUAUCUAACUUUAAAAAUCGUAUCCCCAGAAGAAUCAAAUCAGUGCUCCAUGUGCAACGCAUCGUUUGACAUUGUAAAACAUAUCGAAGUUCGAAGUACACGAACACGACUGGAACGUAUUAUGACAAAAUUACGAUAUAAAUUCGCAUAAGUUGACCCGUAGCUUCUACGAUUUCAAGAUAAAUCGAGAGUUCGGUCGUAAAGAACGAACCACGAUAGUCUGGAUAAGAUGAAGACACGCUUAAUUGACACAUACAUACAAUAAUGUGCGCACUGGAAAAUAUCAUUGAAAAUGUGACAUCUGCAAUGUGAUACUAUCAAUCAUCCACAUUGUCUCGCAUAGUCGUAAAGCGCCCUAUGUACAACGCAGACAGGAAAAAGUAUAACGUCGACGAUAAUCUUAAGUACAUACCCACGUUGAUCUCGUUCCAACAAAAGAUUAUUCACUGACUAAGUCGUCAAUAGACGGCUUCAAUAAAACGGCUUUAAAUAAAAUAAACAAUAAGAAUGACCGUUACGAGGAAAGAUUAUCAGUAUAAAAAUGUUGCAGACAUUUCUCCAGCAAUUAGAGUCUCGUGAAAAUCUUAUUUAUACAGGGUGGUUGGUAACUGGUGGUCCAAACGGAAAGGGGGUGAUUCUACGCGAAAAAAGAAGUCGAAAAUAUAGAAUAACAAUUUUUCGUUCGAGGCUUUGUUUUCGAGAAAAUCGACUUUGAAUUUUCGCUCGGUGCGCGUCCGGUACGUUAUAACGGAUCUCACUGUAGAUCGUUGUCUCGAUGGGAAAAUUAAAAAAAAAAAAAAAAAUCGCCCCCUUUCCACUUGGACCACCAGUUACCAACCACCCUGUAUAUCUCGAUAGUUUACUCGAUAGAAAGCAAUUUUGACGCUUUUGUUUAUUUACGUGUAGCACUGUGCUGUAUCCUACGUAUUAUUAUUAUUAUUUUAAUUAUUAUUAUUAUUAUUAUUAUUAUUAGUUGUGUGCCAACUAAAAGGCUGGUUUUCCAGAGAUGAGAACUAAGAAUGAAACAAAAGGAACAUUUGAACUCGUUCUCAUUCUUCUUGUUCGUAAAUCCGAUUUAAUUACGUUAAAAAACAGUUCUCCGCUUCUACCGCGAAAAACGUACUUUUUCGCAGUCGUAUCGCGUUCUUCGCAAGGAUGCGAUUUCUUUCUACAUUUAUUGUAAUUCGUUUUUGUUUAUGAAUCGUAACGGUUCGCGGAUUUAAACGUUAGAUUCAGCUAGAAUCAAACAUACGCUAAUCAUUUAUUAUCCGUGUUAUAGUACCACGUCGGAAUAAUUUACUUAUAAUUCUCAAUGAGAAUUGAUUGUAAACUACCCGCAAAUAAAUAAAAAAAAAAAAAUAAAAAUAAAAA